RNAcentral lists this ribosomal RNA (429 nucleotides) under uncultured archaeon. RNAcentral's name for it is "bacterial SSU rRNA". It matches the Rfam family "Archaeal small subunit ribosomal RNA", at positions 474 to 903 of the family's 1478-position model. The record is from RNAcentral.
UACCAGCUCUCCGAGUGGUAGGGAUGAUUAUUGGGCUUAAAGCGUCCGUAGCCGGCUUAGCAAGUCUCCUGUUAAAUUCAGCGACCUAAUCGUUGAGCCGCGGGAGAUACUACUAGGCUAGGAGGCGGGAGAGGUCAACGGUACUUCCGGGGUAGGGGUGAAAUCCUAUAAUCCCGGGAGGACCACCAGUGGCGAAGGCUGUUGACUAGAACGCGCUCGACGGUGAGGGACGAAAGCUGGGGGAGCGAACCGGAUUAGAUACCCGGGUAGUCCCAGCUGUAAACGAUGCGAGCUAGGUGUUGGGGUGGCUACGUGCCACUUCAGUGCCGCAGGGAAGCCAUUAAGCUCGCCGCCUGGGGAGUACGGCCGCAAGGCUGAAACUUAAAGGAAUUGGCGGGGGAGCACCAUAAGGCGUGAAGCUUGCGGUUC